Molecule: ribosomal RNA, 253 nt
Filed under: uncultured bacterium
Lineage: Bacteria
Description: partial 16S ribosomal RNA
Rfam family: Bacterial small subunit ribosomal RNA
Source: RNAcentral
UACGUAGGGGGCUAGCGUUGUCCGGAAUCAUUUGGCGUAAAGCGCGUGUAGGCGGUUCGGUAAGUCCGCUGUGAAAGUCGGGGGCUCAACCCUCGAAUGCCGGUGGAUACUGUCGGACUAGAGUACGGAAGAGGCGAGUGGAAUUCCUGGUGUAGCGGUGAAAUGCGCAGAUAUCAGGAGGAACACCAAUUGCGAAGGCAGCUCGCUGGGACGUUACUGACGCUGAGACGCGAAAGCGUGGGGAGCAAACAGG